CCAAAACAAGUCGAAAUUUGGUUGGGACUUCACCUGCGCGCACUGUCGCUUCUCAACCGCCCGCCAUCGCAGUGAUUUGGCGUGUGCGUCAUCACACUCAGCUUCCUUCCGCUGAAACCAAACAGCUAAGAAUCAUGGCGGUAUUUUCAUGUCUGAAAUGCGGCUAUGCCUACGAGUUCCUCGUCUCAAAUAGCUUCACUCGUAGGCUCCUCACACGAACAGAUCACUGUCCCAAGUGCGAUCGCCUUUCCACGUUCCGGUUCAUGAGCGUGAGCGGCAUGGUUGGGCGGAUGCCUUACAAGCCGGUGGAUACACCUGGACCGUCCUACGCUACUUUAUACUGGCGCAAGCAGCGAAGCGGAAAGACCGCGUCACAGCCGUUAAAUGAGGUUUGUAACAAGAAUGAAUUUUGAUGCUGUUGGCCCACCGAAUGCAAAACCGAAACCUUGAAAAGAAAUGCAACGUUUUUGGCGUCCCCCGUGCGGCUUUGAUGCCUCUGCGUGGUGCGCCUCGCCCUCCUCCGCCCUUCAGCCGGCUACCAACCCACCCCACCCCUGCGCCAAACCCCACCGCCCCCCGCCGCAGGCUGGCCAGCCCCGCAGGCCCCCCCCCCCACCCACCACCAAGCAAAAAAAAACGCGGGACGGGAAACCGGCACCCGCCACGCCGACCGCGCCCACCCCAAACGAAAGCCGGCGCCAGGCAAAAAACGAAGGGAAUGAAAGCGCCCCAGAUCCGGGAGAAAGGGGCCUAAACCGCAAGCUGAACGUGCCGACCCGCCAAAACACCCCCCCCCCCAAACAAAAG
RNAcentral lists this unclassified non-coding RNA (807 nucleotides) under Leishmania donovani. Its description in RNAcentral is "gene:unknown". The record is from RNAcentral. Lineage: Eukaryota; Euglenozoa; Kinetoplastea; Trypanosomatida; Trypanosomatidae.